RNAcentral lists this long non-coding RNA (1516 nucleotides) under Homo sapiens (human). Its description in RNAcentral is "HSALNT0173497". Lineage: Eukaryota; Metazoa; Chordata; Mammalia; Primates; Hominidae. The record is from RNAcentral.
GUAAUUGAAUCAUGGGGGUGGUUUUCCCCAUGGUAUUUUUGUGAUAGUGAGUGAGUUCUCAGGUGAUCUGAUGGUUUUAUAAGUGUCUGGCAUUUCCCUCUUGCACUCUCACUCUGUUCUGCCACCCAGUGAGGAAGAUGCCUGCUUCUCCUCUGCCUUCUGCCAAGAUGGCAAGUUUCCUGAGGCCUCCCCAGCAAGAUGGAUCUGCACUUCAUCACCAAAGCAACAAGAUGUGGAGCAUGAGCAGUUCAACCUUUGAAGAUAACUCAGACUAAUUUGGCCAGCCUCUCCGUCUGAGGGUCUGAGAUCAUAAGAAGGAAUUUGAAAUACCAGAGUAGCUUAACAAAGACUCUGAGAAGUCCUGCAAUAAGGAAGUAUCAUUAACUUUGUUGAACAUUUUUUACCAUUGACUCCAUGAUAUAGUUUGAAUAUUUGUCCCCACUCAAAUCCCAUGUUGAAUUGUAAUCCCCCAUUUUGGGAGUGGGGCCUGGUGGGAGGUGUUUGGGUCAUGGGGGCAGACACCUCAUGGCUUGGCACUGUACUUGCAACAGUGAGUGAGUUCUCAUGAGAUCUGGUUAACUGUUUGGCACCUCCUCCCUCCUCACUCCUACAAGAGAUGUGAAGGAGUGCCAUGUGAUGUGCAAGCUCCUACUUCGCCUUCUACCAUGAGUAAAAGCUCCCCGAGGCCUCCACAGAAAAUGAGCAGAUGCCCUUGUUAUGCUAGUACAGCCCACAGAACUGUGAGCCAAUUAAACUUCUCUUCUUUUUAAAUUACCCGGUCUCUGCUGUUUCCCUAUAAUAAUGCAAGAAUGGCCUAAUACACUCCCUUAUCUGCAUACCGUGUAUCUCCAUUUUAUAGAAGGAUGCUUUGUGACGUAUGCUAUAAGAAAUACUGCUCUAAAGAGUUUUUGUAGAUGAGAUGGCUAAAGUAUCACAGAAAUGGUAUUGUGAACAACCAUUCUGAAAUGGAUGGGCCUUGGAAAUAAUGAUCUAAAAAUUCAGAAACUAAAAUAUUUGUCCCAUGAAAUACUCUCUAAAUGAGUUCCAUGUCCAUGUAAAUUUAGGCAACAUUGCACAUUAUAUCCAUUUUCUUAGAGAGUAAACAUGCUGGAAAAAAAAACAGCGUUACUUUAUCUAAUUAAAUUUUAGAAGGUUUAUUUGAAUAUCAAAAUUCAUUUCCCCCCAGGAGUAAUGAUAAAUACUAGGGGAGCUAGUGUGAAAAGUGCUUUGGAAAAAUAUGAUGUGGUAGCAAGAAGAGAUUUAAGAUUCCAACCAAUUCAGAUUUAAUUUUUGGCUCUGCUACUUGCCAGAUGAGAUUUAUUUAUGUGGGAGUUUCUGAAGAUUCCCAUGGUAAAUAGUAUUCCUCUUCCCUGCUUAGGUUUUGAAGAAGUUGAAUAAAUAAUUAAAUGUAAAUGUUGAUAGCAUAAGAUGACCUUUAUCGCUAACAGAGGUCAGGUUUUAGGACAUAGCUAAAAGUCUGCUAAUGCUGGUGGACUUGCUCACACAGAAAGAACAC